Molecule: long non-coding RNA, 168 nt
Organism: Neomonachus schauinslandi (Hawaiian monk seal)
Lineage: Eukaryota; Metazoa; Chordata; Mammalia; Carnivora; Phocidae
Exons: 3
Source: RefSeq, a predicted model, not a curated record
GGAAGUUUGAGGAUUCUCUUGAAAGAUCAGAAGGCCUGGCAACACUGGACCCACAGGGCUGAUAAGAUGCCGUUUUCCCAGCUUCCUUGUGGCAUUCACUCAGGCCCAUGUCUGCAGGCACAUGUGCUCCCUUUUCCAGAAGCCCUGGGAUAAAAGAGAAGAAACAGA